CCUGCAAUUUUGAUAUGCUAGCUAGUUAUAAAACCAGCCAAUUCACCCAAGUUGUUGACUCAUCAAGUUUCCCGACCAUGCAUCAAACCCUAUGAAUCUUGGUAUCAAACCAAUCAUCCCCUAAGAUUGCGCACGGAUCUUUUGCUAUGCACACCGCACCGUGGGGUGCAUUGUGUGCACUGUCUAUUGCAUGAUGAACGGCUGGGCA
This 208-nucleotide long non-coding RNA is filed under the name Elaeis guineensis (African oil palm). Its description in RNAcentral is "long non-coding RNA (EGUI_LNC010936)". The record is from RNAcentral. Lineage: Eukaryota; Viridiplantae; Streptophyta; Magnoliopsida; Arecales; Arecaceae.